AUUGAACGCUGGCGGCAUGCUUUACACAUGCAAGUCGAACGGUAACAGGCCGCAAGGUGCUGACGAGUGGCGAACGGGUGCGUAAUGCAUCGGAACGUGCCCAGUCGUGGGGGAUAACUACUCGAAAGAGUAGCUAAUACCGCAUACGAUCUAUGGAUGAAAGCGGGGGACCGUAAGGCCUCGCGCGAUUGGAGCGGCCGAUGUCAGAUUAGGUAGUUGGUGGGGUAAAGGCUCACCAAGCCAACGAUCUGUAGCUGGUCUGAGAGGACGACCAGCCACACUGGGACUGAGACACGGCCCAGGCUCCUACGGGAGGCAGCAGUGGGGAAUUUUGGACAAUUGGCGCAAGCCUGGUCCAACAAUGCCGCGUGCAGGAAGAAGGCCUUCGGGUUGUAAACUGCUUUUGUACGGAACGAAACGGCUCUGGUUAAUACCCGGGGCUAAUGACGGUACCGUAAGAAUAAGCACCGGCUAACUACGUG
This 482-nucleotide ribosomal RNA is filed under the name uncultured bacterium. RNAcentral describes it as "partial 16S ribosomal RNA". It matches the Rfam family "Bacterial small subunit ribosomal RNA", at positions 30 to 507 of the family's 1533-position model. The record is from RNAcentral.